Molecule: ribosomal RNA, 442 nt
Filed under: uncultured bacterium
Lineage: Bacteria
Description: partial 16S ribosomal RNA
Rfam family: Bacterial small subunit ribosomal RNA
Source: RNAcentral
CCUACGGGUGGCUGCAGUGGGGAAUAUUGGGCAAUGGGCGAAAGCCUGACCCAGCAACGCCGCGUGAAGGAAGAAGGCUUUCUGGUUGUAAACUUCUUUUGACAGGGGAGAGAAGAAGACGGUACCUGUCGACUAAUCCACGGCUAACUACUGGCCAGCAGCCGCGGUAAUAGGUGGGUGGCAAUCGUUGUCCGGAUUUACUGGGUGUAAAGGGCGUGUGGCCGGGCUGACAAGUCAGAUGUGAAAUCCGGGGGCUCAAACCCCGAACUGCAUUUGAAACUGUUGGUCUUGAGUAUCGGAGAGGCAGGCGGAAUUCCUAGUGUAGCGGUGAAAUGCGUAGAUAUUAGGAGGAACACCAGUGGCGAAGGCGGCCUGCUGGACGACAACUGACGGUGAGGCGCGAAAGCGUGGGGAGCAAACAGGAUUAGAUACCCCAGUAGUC